This 427-nucleotide ribosomal RNA is filed under the name uncultured bacterium. Its description in RNAcentral is "partial 16S ribosomal RNA". It matches the Rfam family "Bacterial small subunit ribosomal RNA", at positions 355 to 774 of the family's 1533-position model. The record is from RNAcentral.
UGGGGAAUAUUGGACAAUGGGCGAAAGCCUGAUCCAGCCAUGCCGCGUGUGUGAAGAAGGUCUUCGGAUUGUAAAGCACUUUAAGUUGGGAGGAAGGGUUGUAGAUUAAUACUCUGCAAUUUUGACGUUACCGACAGAAUAAGCACCGGCUAACUCUGUGCCAGCAGCCGCGGUAAUACAGAGGAUGCAAGCAUUAAUCGGAAUUACUGGGCGUAAAGCGCGCGUAGGUGGUUUGUUAAGUUGGAUGUGAAAGCCCCGGGCUCAACCUGGGAACUGCAUCCAAAACUGGCAAGCUAGAGUACGGUAGAGGGUGGUGGAAUUUCCUGUGUAGCGGUGAAAUGCGUAGAUAUAGGAAGGAACACCAGUGGCGAAGGCGACCACCUGGACUGAUACUGACACUGAGGUGCGAAAGCGUGGGGAGCAAACA